GAAGGGCGGCGCGGACGCCCGGCUCCUGCGAACCCGGUCAGGUCCGGAAGGAAGCAGCCGUAGCGGGAUGCCGGCGGGUCGCGACCGCUCUUCCGC
Molecule: signal recognition particle RNA, 96 nt
Filed under: Alphaproteobacteria bacterium
Lineage: Bacteria; Pseudomonadati; Pseudomonadota; Alphaproteobacteria
Description: signal recognition particle sRNA small type
Rfam family: Bacterial small signal recognition particle RNA
About the family: The signal recognition particle (SRP) is a universally conserved ribonucleoprotein involved in the co-translational targeting of proteins to membranes.
Source: RNAcentral